RNAcentral lists this ribosomal RNA (180 nucleotides) under uncultured Glomeromycotina. RNAcentral's name for it is "partial small subunit ribosomal RNA". The record is from RNAcentral. Lineage: Eukaryota; Fungi; Glomeromycota.
GGAUCAGCAGGUUGGUCGUGCCUACGGUAUGAACUGGCCUUGCUGAUUCCUCCUUCUUGAUGAGCCGUAAUGCCAUUAAUUUGGUGUUGCGGGGAAUCAGGACUGUUACUUUGAAAAAAUUAGAGUGUUUAAAGCAGGCAUGUGCCGGAAUAAUUGCGCUGGGAAUAAUGGAAUAGGACC